AGACCCGAAACCCGGUGAUCUAGCCAUGGGCAGGUUGAAGGUUGGGUAACACUAACUGGAGGACCGAACCGACUAAUGUUGAAAAAUUAGCGGAUGACCUGUGGCUGGGGGUGAAAGGCCAAUCAAACCGGGAGAUAGCUGGUUCUCCCCGAAAGCUAUUUAGGUAGCGCCUCGUGAAUUCAUCUCCGGGGGUAGAGCACUGUUUCGGCUAGGGGGCCAUCCCGGCUUACCAACCCGAUGCAAACUGCGAAUACCGGAGAAUGUUAUCACGGGAGACACACGGCGGGUGCUAACGUCCGUCGUGAAGAGGGAAACAACCCAGACCGCCAGCUAAGGUCCCAAAGUCAUGGUUAAGUGGGAAACGAUGUGGGAAGGCCCAGACAGCCAGGAUGUUGGCUUAGAAGCAGCCAUCAUUUAAAGAAAGCGUAAUAGCUCACUGGUCGAGUCGGCCUGCGCGGAAGAUGUAACGGGGCUAAACCAUGCACCGAAGCUGCGGCAGCGACGCUGAUGCGUUGUUGGGUAGGGGAGCGUUCUGUAAGCCUGCGAAGGUGGCCUGUGAGGGUUGCUGGAGGUAUCAGAAGUGCGAAUGCUGACAUAAGUAACGAUAAAGCGGGUGAAAAGCCCGCUCGCCGGAAGACCAAGGGUUCCUGUCCAACGUUAAUCGGGGCAGGGUGAGUCGACCCCUAAGGCGAGGCCGAAAGGCGUAGUCGAUGGGAAACGGGUUAAUAUUCCCGUACUUGGUGUUACUGCGAAGGGGGGACGGAGAAGGCUAUGUUGGCCGGGCGACGGUUGUCCCGGUUUAAGCGUGUAGGUGUGUGUUCCAGGUAAAUCCGGUUCACUUUAACACUGAGGCGUGAUGACGAGGCACUACGGUGCUGAAGCAACAAAUGCCCUGCUUCCAGGAAAAGCCUCUAAGCAUCAGGUAACAUCAAAUCGUACCCCAAACCGACACAGGUGGUCAGGUAGAGAAUACCAAGGCGCUUGAGAGAACUCGGGUGAAGGAACUAGGCAAAAUGGUGCCGUAACUUCGGGAGAAGG
This 1038-nucleotide ribosomal RNA is filed under the name Salmonella enterica. Its description in RNAcentral is "partial 23S ribosomal RNA". It matches the Rfam family "Bacterial large subunit ribosomal RNA", at positions 711 to 1746 of the family's 2925-position model. The record is from RNAcentral. Lineage: Bacteria; Pseudomonadati; Pseudomonadota; Gammaproteobacteria; Enterobacterales; Enterobacteriaceae.